GUGCAGCGGCUUGGACCCGAGCAAUAACAUAGGAAAAUAAAUAAAAACAUAUUUUAGGAACUAUAAGUACAAAUGAAUAUACUGAGAAAUAUUUUGUCCCCCGUUUCAUUAGCAAGAAAACAUUUUAGUAGGAUAUCAUCUUCACUAUGACUUUCAUGUGCGAAUCAUUCCAUUUAUUAUUUUCAUUAUCGAUGUAAUUUUCCUUUAAAAGGUACAUCGCCAUAGAAUAUAAAUCUUAAUAUGUAAGGUGCAACACUAUCUUGAUGGAGUGCAAGUAAAGUCUUUAAUCGAUAAC
Molecule: long non-coding RNA, 295 nt
Filed under: Hordeum vulgare
Lineage: Eukaryota; Viridiplantae; Streptophyta; Magnoliopsida; Poales; Poaceae
Description: long non-coding RNA (HVUL_LNC005384)
Source: RNAcentral